RNAcentral lists this long non-coding RNA (550 nucleotides) under Numida meleagris (helmeted guineafowl). RNAcentral describes it as "lncRNA (ENSNMEG00000010520.1)". The record is from RNAcentral. Lineage: Eukaryota; Metazoa; Chordata; Aves; Galliformes; Numididae.
CAUCUCCCUCAGACCUCUCUUCCUGCUCUUUCUAGACUGUGGGCACUGUGUGGAGCAGCCUCUAGUGCUCACAGCAUGUUUCUUCCACAACAGUUUCAGGAUCUGCUAGAAACCAUCAAGAUCCCAUGGAUAAUUUGGCUGCCUCCUGGAAUUACUUGUGCCUAGGGCUUCCUUAACACAACAGGAUAAUUCCCCAAGAGGAUGAUUGUUGGUUGGGAAUGGAUACAUAGGAUUUCAGAAGAUAAAAUCAAAGAGCAGGACCAGGACUCCGAAGAGACCACAUCUCAAGAACAGGUUGGUUACUUUUUUGCUAUGUUAUUGGGUGGCUUUUGGCAAGCUUAUGACCUCCAUCCAUAGUCAUAAAUCAGAGUUAAUCUGUUUUUUCUUCCCUUUGCCAUUUAUCAUAUAUGUAGGCUGUCUGCUAAGAAAUCAGGCUUCCUCCCGCACCAAAAACAAACACGAAAAUAAUCCUAAUUCAUGGCUGGUGAAGAAUCUAACCACUGCAGAUAUUGCAGUGUGUGAACUGGUGUCUUCAGGUUUGCAGAAGUGA